AGUGAACGCUGGCGGUAGGCCUAACACAUGCAAGUCGAACGGCAGCACAGGAGAGCUUGCUCUCUGGGUGGCGAGUGGCGGACGGGUGAGGAAUACAUCGGAAUCUACUUUUUCGUGGGGGAUAACGUAGGGAAACUUACGCUAAUACCGCAUACGACCUACGGGUGAAAGCAGGGGAUUUUCGGACCUUGCGCGAUUGAAUGAGCCGAUGUCGGAUUAGCUAGUUGGCGGGGUAAAGGCCCACCAAGGCGACGAUCCGUAGCUGGUCUGAGAGGAGGAUCAGCCACACUGGAACUGAGACACGGUCCAGACUCCUACGGGAGGCAGCAGUGGGGAAUAUUGGACAAUGGGCGCAAGCCUGAUCCAGCCAUACCGCGUGGGUGAAGAAGGCCUUCGGGUUGUAAAGCCCUUUUGUUGGGAAAGAAAUCCAGCUGGUUAAUACCCGGUUGGGAUGACGGUACCCAAAGAAUAAGCACCGGCUAACUUCGUGCCAGCCGCCGCCGCGG
This 506-nucleotide ribosomal RNA is filed under the name uncultured bacterium. Its description in RNAcentral is "partial 16S ribosomal RNA". It matches the Rfam family "Bacterial small subunit ribosomal RNA", at positions 29 to 523 of the family's 1533-position model. The record is from RNAcentral.